CAGGGUGACAGCCCCGUACACAAAAAUGCACAUAUUGUGAGCUCGAUGAGUAGGGCGGGACACGUGGUAUCCUGUCUGAAUAUGGGGGGCCCAUCCUCCAAGGCUAAAUACUCCUGACUGACCGAUAGUGAACCAGUACCGUGAGGGAAAGGCGAAAAGAACCCCGGCGAGGGGAGUGAAAAAGAACCUGAAACCGUGUACGUACAAGCAGUGGGAGCACGCUUAGGCGUGUGACUGCGUACCUUUUGUAUAAUGGGUCAGCGACUUAUAUUCUGUAGCAAGGUUAACCGAAUAGGGGAGCCGAAGGGAAACCGAGUCUUAACUGGGCGUUAAGUUGCAGGGUAUAGACCCGAAACCCGGUGAUCUAGCCAUGGGCAGGUUGAAGGUUGGGUAACACUAACUGGAGGACCGAACCGACUAAUGUUGAAAAAUUAGCGGAUGACUUGUGGCUGGGGGUGAAAGGCCAAUCAAACCGGGAGAUAGCUGGUUCUCCCCGAAAGCUAUUUAGGUAGCGCCUCGUGAAUUCAUCUCCGGGGGUAGAGCACUGUUUCGGCAAGGGGGUCAUCCCGACUUACCAACCCGAUGCAAACUGCGAAUACCGGAGAAUGUUAUCACGGGAGACACACGGCGGGUGCUAACGUCCGUCGUGAAGAGGGAAACAACCCAGACCGCCAGCUAAGGUCCCAAAGUCAUGGUUAAGUGGGAAACGAUGUGGGAAGGCCCAGACAGCCAGGAUGUUGGCUUAGAAGCAGCCAUCAUUUAAAGAAAGCGUAAUAGCUCACUGGUCGAGUCGGCCUGCGCGGAAGAUGUAACGGGGCUAAACCAUGCACCGAAGCUGCGGCAGCGACGCUUAUGCGUUGUUGGGUAGGGGAGCGUUCUGUAAGCCUGCGAAGGUGUGCUGUGAGGCAUGCUGGAGGUAUCAGAAGUGCGAAUGCUGACAUAAGUAACGAUAAAGCGGGUGAAAAGCCCGCUCGCCGGAAGACCAAGGGUUCCUGUCCAACGUUAAUCGGGGCAGGGUGAGUCGACCCCUAAGGCGAGGCCGAAAGGCGUAGUCGAUGGGAAACAGGUUAAUAUUCCUGUACUUGGUGUUACUGCGAAGGGGGGACGGAGAAGGCUAUGUUGGCCGGGCGACGGUUGUCCCGGUUUAAGCGUGUAGGCUGGUUUUCCAGGCAAAUCCGGAAAAUCAAGGCUGAGGCGUGAUGACGAGGCACUACGGUGCUGAAGCAACAAAUGCCCUGCUUCCAGGAAAAGCCUCUAAGCAUCAGGUAACAUCAAAUCGUACCCCAAACCGACACAGGUGGUCAGGUAGAGAAUACCAAGGCGCUUGAGAGAACUCGGGUGAAGGAACUAGGCAAAAUGGUGCCGUAACUUCGGGAGAAGGCACGCUGAUAUGUAGGUGAAGUCCCUUGCGGAUGGAGCUGAAAUCAGUCGAAGAUACCAGCUGGCUGCAACUGUUUAUUAAAAACACAGCACUGUGCAAACACGAAAGUGGACGUAUACGGUGUGACGCCUGCCCGGUGCCGGAAGGUUAAUUGAUGGGGUCAGCGCAAGCGAAGCUCUUGAUCGAAGCCCCGGUAAACGGCGGCCGUAACUAUAACGGUCCUAAGGUAGCGAAAUUCCUUGUCGGGUAAGUUCCGACCUGCACGAAUGGCGUAAUGAUGGCCAGGCUGUCUCCACCCGAGACUCAGUGAAAUUGAACUCGCUGUGAAGAUGCAGUGUACCCGCGGCAAGACGGAAAGACCCCGUGAACCUUUACUAUAGCUUGACACUGAACAUUGAGCCUUGAUGUGUAGGAUAGGUGGGAGGCUUUGAAGUGUGGACGCCAGUCUGCAUGGAGCCGGCCUUGAAAUACCACCCUUUAAUGUUUGAUGUUCUAACGUGGACCCGUGAUCCGGGUUGCGGACAGUGUCUGGUGGGUAGUUUGACUGGGGCGGUCUCCUCCUAAAGAGUAACGGAGGAGCACGAAGGUUGGCUAAUCCUGGUCGGACAUCAGGAGGUUAGUGCAAUGGCAUAAGCCAGCUUGACUGCGAGCGUGACGGCGCGAGCAGGUGCGAAAGCAGGUCAUAGUGAUCCGGUGGUUCUGAAUGGAAGGGCCAUCGCUCAACGGAUAAAAGGUACUCCGGGGAUAACAGGCUGAUACCGCCCAAGAGUUCAUAUCGACGGCGGUGUUUGGCACCUCGAUGUCGGCUCAUCACAUCCUGGGGCUGAAGUAGGUCCCAAGGGUAUGGCUGUUCGCCAUUUAAAGUGGUACGCGAGCUGGGUUUAGAACGUCGUGAGACAGUUCGGUCCCUAUCUGCCGUGGGCGCUGGAGAACUGAGGGGGGCUGCUCCUAGUACGAGAGGACCGGAGUGGACGCAUCACUGGUGUUCGGGUUGUCAUGCCAAUGGCACUGCCCGGUAGCUAAAUGCGGAAGAGAUAAGUGCUGAAAGCAUCUAAGCACGAAACUUGCCCCGAGAUGAGUUCUCCCUGACCCUUUAAGGGUCCUGAAGGAACGUUGAAGACGACGACGUUGAUAGGCCGGGUGUGUAAGCGCAGCGAUGCGUUGAGCUAACCGGUACUAAUGAACCGUGAGGCUUAACCUUACAACGCCGAAG
Molecule: ribosomal RNA, 2594 nt
Filed under: Shigella sonnei
Lineage: Bacteria; Pseudomonadati; Pseudomonadota; Gammaproteobacteria; Enterobacterales; Enterobacteriaceae
Description: partial 23S ribosomal RNA
Rfam family: Bacterial large subunit ribosomal RNA
Source: RNAcentral